This 440-nucleotide ribosomal RNA is filed under the name uncultured bacterium. Its description in RNAcentral is "partial 16S ribosomal RNA". It matches the Rfam family "Bacterial small subunit ribosomal RNA", at positions 338 to 795 of the family's 1533-position model. The record is from RNAcentral.
CCUACGGGAGGCAGCAGUGGGGGAUAUUGCACAAUGGGGGGAACCCUGAUGCAGCGACGCCGCGUGGGUGAAGAAGCGCCUCGGCGCGUAAAGCCCUGUCAGCAGGGAAGAAAAUGACGGUAACUGAAGAAGAAGCCCCGGCUAACUACGUGCCAGCAGCCGCGGUAAUACGUAGGGGGCAAGCGUUAUCCGGAUUUACUGGGUGGAAAGGGGGCGCAGACGGCGAUGCAAGCCAGGAGUGAAAGCCCGGGGCCAAACCCCGGGACUGCUCUUGGAACUGCGUGGCUGGAGUGCAGGAGGGGCAGGCGGAAUUCCUGGUGUAGCGGUGAAAUGCGUAGAUAUCAGGAGGAACACCGGUGGCGAAGGCGGCCUGCUGGACUGCAACUGACGUUGAGGCCCGAAAGCGUGGGGAGCAAACAGGAUUAGAUACCCCUGUAGUC